Molecule: ribosomal RNA, 226 nt
Filed under: uncultured bacterium
Lineage: Bacteria
Description: partial 16S ribosomal RNA
Rfam family: Bacterial small subunit ribosomal RNA
Source: RNAcentral
GAUCAUGGCUCAGGAUGAACGCUAGCGACAGGCUUAACACAUGCAAGUCGAGGGGCAGCACAGGUAGCAAUACCGGGUGGCGACCGGCGCACGGGUGAGUAACGUGUAUGCAACUUACCUAUCAGAGGGGGAUAACCCGGCGAAAGUCGGACUAAUACCGCAUGAAGCAGGGGUCCCGCAUGUGGAUAUUUGCUAAAGAUUCAUCGCUGAUAGAUAGGCAUGCGUU